Long non-coding RNA from Asparagus officinalis (garden asparagus), 370 nucleotides. RefSeq lists it as uncharacterized. NCBI's taxonomy places the organism in Eukaryota, Viridiplantae, Streptophyta, Magnoliopsida, Asparagales, Asparagaceae. The record is from RefSeq and is a predicted model, not a curated record. The transcript has 4 exons.
AUUUUUUUGAAGACCUAAUCUCGCGGGAGGCACGAAUCUCAAAGCCGCGGGAGUUCGUUCGGCGCCUUUUCCCCGUGCAAAGGCUGAGAGAUCGCUGUGCUUCGUUUUGUCAGCGAUGGUAGUUUUUCGUGGAAGGGUUAAGCUACCGCUGAUGGCUGCGACGUCCUUUCUUGUCCUGCUCCUCUUCGUCGUCUUCUUUUCUUCUCCUGGAAUUUCACCCCGGCGCUUUGAUCGCAUAACGGAACGGGAGGGAGAAACCCGUCACAAAUUCGGCCGCAGGCUUCUCGAGCGAGCAAACAAGACUACUCCUUCAAGAACAAACGACAGCAGGAUAGGCGUCGAAGGAAGCACCCCAGACGACAAGACUACA